RNAcentral lists this ribosomal RNA (468 nucleotides) under uncultured bacterium. RNAcentral's name for it is "partial 16S ribosomal RNA". It matches the Rfam family "Bacterial small subunit ribosomal RNA", at positions 28 to 507 of the family's 1533-position model. The record is from RNAcentral.
GAUGAACGCUGGCGGCGUGCUUAACACAUGCAAGUCGAACGGAAAGGCCAGUGCUUGCACUGGUACUCGAGUGGCGAACGGGUGAGUAACACGUGGGUGAUCUGCCCAGCACUUCGGGAUAAGCCUGGGAAACUGGGUCUAAUACCGGAUAGGACAAUGGUUUGGAUGCCGUUGUGGAAAGUUUUUUCGGUGUGGGAUGAGCUCGCGGCCUAUCAGCUUGUUGGUGGGGUAAUGGCCUACCAAGGCGUCGACGGGUAGCCGGCCUGAGAGGGUGUACGGCCACAUUGGGACGGAGAUACGGCCCAGACUCCUACGGGAGGCAGCAGUGGGGAAUAUUGCACAAUGGGCGCAAGCCUGAUGCAGCGACGCCGCGUGGGGGAUGACGGCCUUCGGGUUGUAAACUCCUUUCGCUAGGGACGAAGCGUAUUUGUGACGGUACCUGGAGAAGAAGCACCGGCUAACUACGUG